GGCUGCCGUAGCUCAGGGGUAGAGCACUCCCUUGGUAAGGGAACGCCGCAGACAAGAUUUUCCCUAUAAAAUCAAAUACUAAGCCUCGAGCUAGGAGCGCAGUGCACGGAUUUUGCACGGAGUGGCGGGCGGCACCCGAGCAAUCAUCGUUUUACGGCCUGUCGCGGUCG
This 170-nucleotide transfer RNA is filed under the name Psychromarinibacter sediminicola. RNAcentral describes it as "tRNA-Thr". The record is from RNAcentral. Lineage: Bacteria; Pseudomonadati; Pseudomonadota; Alphaproteobacteria; Rhodobacterales; Paracoccaceae.